UGCAGUCGAACGGAUCCUUCGGGAUUAGUGGCGGACGGGUGAGUAACACGUGGGAACGUGCCUUUUGGUUCGGAACAACUCAGGGAAACUUGAGCUAAUACCGGAUAAGCCUUUCGAGGGAAAGAUUUAUCGCCAUUAGAGCGGCCCGCGUAGGAUUAGCUAGUUGGUGGGGUAAAGGCCCACCAAGGCUACGAUCCUUAGCUGGUCUGAGAGGAUGAUCAGCCACAUUGGGGCUGAGACACGGCCCAAACUCCUACGGGAGGCAGCAGUGGGGAAUCUUGCGCAAUGGGCGAAAGCCUGACGCAGCCAUGCCGCGUGAAUGAUGAAGGUCUUAGGAUUGUAAAAUUCUUUCACCGGGGACGAUAAUGACGGUACCCGGAGAAGAAGCCCCGGCUAACUUCGUGCCAGCAGCCGCGGUAAUACGAAGGGGGCUAGCGUUGCUCGGAAUUACUGGGCGUAAAGGGAGCGUAGGCGGAUAGUUUAGUCAGAGGUGAAAGCCCAGGGCUCAACCUUGGAAUUGCCUUUGAUACUGGCUAUCUUGAGUACGGAAGAGGUAUGUGGAACUCCGAGUGUAGAGGUGAAAUUCGUAGAUAUUCGGAAGAACACCAGUGGCGAAGGCGACAUACUGGUCCGUUACUGACGCUGAGGCUCGAAAGCGUGGGGAGCAAACAGGAUUAGAUACCCUGGUAGUCCACGCUGUAAACGAUGAGUGCUAGUUGUCGGCAGGCAUGC
This 732-nucleotide ribosomal RNA is filed under the name uncultured microorganism. RNAcentral's name for it is "bacterial SSU rRNA". It matches the Rfam family "Bacterial small subunit ribosomal RNA", at positions 56 to 835 of the family's 1533-position model. The record is from RNAcentral.